AACGAACGCUGGCGGCAUGCCUAACACAUGCAAGUCGAACGACACCUCCGGGUCUAGUGUCGCACGGGUCCGUGACGCGUUGGAACCUUCCCUUAGGUUUGGAAUAACUCCCCGAAAGAGGUGCUAAUACCUGCUAAUGUCCUCGGACCAAAGGUUUAUCGCCUUUGGUUGGGCCCGCGUUGGAUUACCUAGUUGGUAGGGUAAAAGCGUAUCAAUGCGUCGAUGCAUAGCUGGUCUCAGAGGAAGAGCAGCCACACUGGUACGGAGACACGGCCCAGAAUACUACGGGAGGGAGGAGAGGGGAAUAUUGGAAAGUGGGGGGAGGGAUGAAGCAGCAAGGCCGGGUAAGAGAUGAAGGCCUUAGAGAAGUAAAGCGAGUUUACACGGGAGGAGAAUGACAGUACCGGAAGAAUAAGCUCCGGCUAACUCCGUG
Molecule: ribosomal RNA, 433 nt
Filed under: uncultured bacterium
Lineage: Bacteria
Description: partial 16S ribosomal RNA
Rfam family: Bacterial small subunit ribosomal RNA
Source: RNAcentral